Non-coding RNA from Pelodiscus sinensis (Chinese soft-shelled turtle), 751 nucleotides. The record is from RefSeq and is a predicted model, not a curated record. Lineage: Eukaryota; Metazoa; Chordata; Testudines; Trionychidae.
UCUUACAUUGCACUUAAAUUGAAAAAGAUCUUGUGGUUUAAAAGGUUGAAGACCACUGGUCUAAAGUAAGGUAAUAAUCAUUAGAGCUUAUGGCUUGUAGAGGGGUGUAGAAAGUUACCUCUCACUUUUAAAUAACAUUUAUUUUGUGCUGUUCAAAGAUGUUAUUUCCAUCUUGGUUUGAAAUAGAAUCCCUAGAUCACACUGGUGUCAAAGAAGCCUGAGGAGGAAUGCUGAUGGAUUCUUCUAGAUGUGGUGGAGAGGAGCAUAGUGGUGCAGAAGCAAUACUUCUACCCCCACUUGAAAGGAUGCAACGUACACUCCCUUCCCAUCUGUGCUGGGCUGCGAGGCUGAGGUCGCCCCAGAGGAGGAGCAGGAGGGCCAGGGCCAGUCGGUCACGCUGGAGGCAGGCACUGUGACCCUCUCCCUCAAGCUGGUUCCCAUAAGCGAAGAAGACUCCCAGUCUUCCACGGACACCUGGGAGGGAUCUUCAGCCAGACCAGCUGGGACAAAAGGCUGAGCCAUUCCACCACAGCCACCCACCAGAGCCCAGGGGAUCUGAAGGCACGCCAGGGUGCACAAGGACUGAUGCAGCAGCACAUCAGUGCUCUCCGUGACAUCCACCAUACCCUGGCGCACAAGUUCCGCACCAACCUGGAGUGAUGGGAGCCUGCCUGGGACCAGCUGAUGCAGCGGUGUGAUAACAUAUGUGUUGUCAUGUCCCCCUGACAGAACACGCGCCUGAUGCUGCUGC